UCUCCCUAUAAGUUUUUAAUAUUGUCACGACCCAAAGUACAUCCUAGUCGUAACAUGGCGUAUAGGACCUCGAGAGACCCAAUACAAGUCACUUAGCAUACAUAUACAAGAUAAUAGAAUCUUAAAGAGUUCAAAAGACAUUUGAAUCAUAAAGAGUUCCAUCAAAAACAGAAGUCUAACAUAAGUCUCAAAGCCACUAUUGGAAAGUGAUUGAAACGUAACCCAUACAUCACAAUAUGAAAUGAAAAGAUUUGAAAGCAAUAAAGAAUCUUGGUCCUCGGAACAUGAGGACUCACCAAUCUUCAAUGUCUAUAUGGGAUCACUGGCCACGAGUGUGCGGAAUGGAAGCGUCGGACCCUACAUUAGUGAAACAAUGUAGGCACAAGUAUGCAUUAGUACAUGGAAUGUACUAAGUAUGAUAACAAUGCAUAAAGAGUAAUGAAAUCUUGCUAAAAGGGACUUUAUAUGACAUGCAAUGAUCAAGCUAAAUCAUAAAAUAACAUGUUAGAAGACAUAAGUCGAAAUCAUGGUCAAUGCAAGCUAAACAUCUUUAAAACACAUUUGAGAUACUUCUAGAAGUAACCUUAGUUCAUUCUUGUGGGAAGUUUGCCAUUAACUGACAUAGACCAUGUGAGCUAUAACAUGGAAUCUAGUGUCUAUUCCACAUCGAAAAGAGAUGUCCUUACUUGCCAAGGUAAGAACCAUAAACUUCUAGCUUAGGUGGAUCCACUAGCUAAUCUCUAUCUAAGACAACCUAUGGUGACACAUAGUUAUGUGAUAGGGAGAUUGCUACUAGAAACCCAGCCUCAACUAUGGGAGAGCUUCCAUCUUGAUAUCCUCUCGGUGCUAAUUAAGCAUAAAUCCCACGGAAUAGUCAUUAAUCUUAACUUAUCUUAUUAUCCAUGGAAGGGCACAUGAAGUAGCCAAUCAAAGCUAGAAUUCAUUAUAGCCAAUCCUAGGUGAGAAAACCUUUCAACCUUGUGAAUCAUUUAUGUGAGCAAAUCCUUUCACAAUAACUUCAUAUGUGAGAAAUCCUUUCACAACAACAAUUCAUAAAGAAACAUGCAUAUCUUCAUAAAUUCAUCUUUCAUAUUUCAAAAGCUUCAUCAUAUAAUCAAAAUCCAGAAAAUUAUGGAUCAUGCAUGGGUUCAAUUGCAUUGAACUUAAAAACAUGUAGUUAUCUCAAUUCAUGCAUAAAAAUACAUAAAACAAUCAAUUGGAUCAUAAUUGAGAGCAACCCAUGAAAUUGAAUAAAACCCUAAUUUCAAUUGGAGAACUCUAACUUGUAAUAUUGGAGAAUUUAGGAACCUUAUGGAGGAAAGAACUCCACAGGUGAAUACUAUCAUACCUUGAUGUCAAAAACCCCCAAUCAAUGGUGAAUUUGGAGACUGGAUCCUGAAACCCUAGACUAGUUUAUCAAACAUAUCAAGCCUAUUUAAGAAUGACAAGAAGGUACAUCUAUUAAUUGCCUGUGUAGACUUUGGCCUAUUCAAGAAUGACAAGAAACAACAUGCAUUAAUUAGUUUUUGUACAUUUCGGGUUACCUAAAAUGUUAACAAUAACAUACUUUUUGCAGUCUUCCAACUGGGAUCUUUGAAGGGUAGGAUGUAAGCAGAUCUUACCUCUACCUUCGUAAGUCAGAGACUAAAAAACUCUCGAUUCAAAAGGAAAGUACCUAGGAUACAAAAGAAAUGUAACAAUAAGAGGUUACCUAAAUGUUACUGAUGGUAAUCGUCCAUAAAAUACAAUAAGUUAAAUGCAAUCAUGUAUAGUUGGCUCAUCACUUCGUUUGAGUUGGAUGUUGGUUUGCAACCAUUGCAGGAAGAAUCAGUACUAAGUAAUUAGGAAAAGGAAAUUGAACAGAUAGAGCAACAACAAAAUACAUGUUUUAUCGCAAAUACUUCUUAACUAAAUCAAUCAACAAAGAAAAUAAAAACAACAUUCAGCUGCAAAAUUCUCUUUUGUAUUCAGAUUGCAUAACGACAAUCACAAGAAGCUCAGCUCAAAAACAUAAAAAACUGAAUUGUAUCGCAACUUCAAGCAACAUGAGAAAUUGUAGCUAUAACUUAUAGAACAACCUUGAAUUCCUUAAAAUACCUAUAGAAAUAACCUAUUAUAAUCAAGAAACUCGCCUUGAAACUAUAUACUCAAGUGAAAUCCUCACUAACCACAUAACUGAAAAGUAGCAAUAAGAUGAUUUUCAGUUCACUCGAGUAGCCAACAUGUCUAUAGAUAUGAUUGCACAAGUGUAUAAACAAAUUCGUAACAAUGACCACGAUUUAAUUUUCUGACUGUUCUUCCCUCAUUUCAAACAAAUCAUACUAAUUACUCCCAAACUCCAAAAAAAAGAAAACAAUCAAACCAUGUAAAGACAAAAGCAUAAAGUACCUGUAACAAUUAGCAAAGUUCAAAAAAAAAAAUUCAAUUACAAUACUUAGAAACCAGUAGAACACGAAUUGAAAAUAUUGAUUCUUAAUUUCAGCUUCAAUUCUACAAAAAUUGAAACAAGUAGAAAUAGGAAUUACUUAACAAAUCAUAUAUAUAAAUAUAUCAAAAUAUAUUAAAAACUCGAAGAGAUUUAACUCGAAGCUCCAAUUCUCCUUCAGAAAUUCAUACUAAGAACAACUCUUCUUUCACACACACAUACACUAUCAUAGAAGGUUGUGAACGUGUUCAGAAAUUUCUCAAACUUGUGAGAAAUACCAAAACCCUACCUGAAACGAAGUUGAUGAAGCGAGAUCUUCUUGCUCCUAAGCAAACUAGUAAUGGAUGACCCACUUCUCAAUGGACUCUUCGAUCAAGACCUUCCGACGAUAACCCACACACCACCUCUUCCUUAUAUGCCGAGAAGAAACCUUGUUUU
This 2863-nucleotide long non-coding RNA is filed under the name Solanum tuberosum (potato). RNAcentral's name for it is "long non-coding RNA (STUB_LNC009680)". Lineage: Eukaryota; Viridiplantae; Streptophyta; Magnoliopsida; Solanales; Solanaceae. The record is from RNAcentral.